RNAcentral lists this ribosomal RNA (460 nucleotides) under uncultured bacterium. RNAcentral describes it as "partial 16S ribosomal RNA". It matches the Rfam family "Bacterial small subunit ribosomal RNA", at positions 338 to 795 of the family's 1533-position model. The record is from RNAcentral.
CCUACGGGAGGCAGCAGUGAGGAAUAUUGGUCAAUGGGCGCUAGACUGAACCAGCCAAGUAGCGUGAAGGAUGACUGCCCUAUGGGUUGUAAACUUCUUUUAUAUGGGAAUAAAGUGCAGUAUGUAUACUGCUUUGCAUGUACCUUAUGAAUAAGGAUCGGCUAACUCCGUGCCAGCAGCCGCGGUAAUACGGAGGAUCCGAGCGUUAUCCGGAUUUAUUGGGUUUAAAGGGAGCGUAGGCGGGUUGUUAAGCCAGUUGUGAAAGUUUGCGGCUCAACCGUAAAAUUGCAGUGGAUACUGGCAUCCUUGAGUACAGGAGAGGUAGGCGGAAUUCGUGGUGUAGCGGUGAAAUGCUUAGAUAUCACGAAGAACUCCGAUUGCGAAGGCAGCCUGCUGGACUGUAACUGACGCUGAUGCUCGAAGGUGUGGGUAUCGAACAGGAUUAGAUACCCCUGUAGUC